UAUAGCAUCAGCCAGUCUAGCGCGUUCUAACCACUAUCGCUUUCGUCUUGUAAAAGUUUAAUAAAUGCGACUGUGAAUUAGGGCCAGUAGACUAGAACUAUAAAUUGACCCGGCGUCGACGCGUAGCCGCUCACCAUUAUGGUUCUAUUGGUUCUCAUCGAAGUAUCUAAAUGGUUCUAUUGGGGUUCUCUUCGAGAUAUCAAAAUAUUAUUUGGAAUUUACCACCCGUGUGGAGCCUUGAAUGCGACUCUAAAUUGGAUCAGUCACACCGGGCGAUCACUCUCCUGGAGAGCUCUUAUGGCUCUCAUGUGAUAACUAACUCGCCUUCCCUAAGUCUUCGCCUAACUCGCCUUUCUCAGAAUCUUCUGAAUCGGGAUCCGUGGUUGCGUCUGUUGGCAGUAGCACUU
Molecule: long non-coding RNA, 407 nt
Filed under: Hordeum vulgare
Lineage: Eukaryota; Viridiplantae; Streptophyta; Magnoliopsida; Poales; Poaceae
Description: long non-coding RNA (HVUL_LNC013007)
Source: RNAcentral